UUUAUUUUUCUUUCCGAUCAUAAAUCUAACUCUCCAUUAAAUACGAUUAACAAAAACACUUGGCUCCAAGAAAGACAGAGAGUGAUGAAUAAUGUUUCUUUCCGCUUUCCCGAGAGAGAUGGCAAUGGGAGAUUGUUAAAUUAAUUAAGAAAUUGAGUAUGGAAAUAAUGAGCAGCAAAAGUUACCACCUCUGCUCGACUGGCUCCCAGAGAGAUAGCCGACUGACCGACCCACCGAACCACACUUACCCGUUCCAGAAAUUGUCUCUGAUAAACGACGGCACAAGAACAUCAAUAUUGCUUAAACAACUGCCGCCGGUAGUUGCCGCCAUGUGUAUCUCAAUCUCCACAAGGAGAUCCGAUCCAUCAGUGGUUGCACAGUGGUUUCAUGUUUUAAACACUGCAAGUUUCCGGAGAAUCAAACUAUCUUGAUUAUAGCUCCAAUAAGGGGUUCUUAGAAUACAAGAAGUGGUUGAUAAUAGCUGAUAUAAUCAGUGAAGAUAGCUACAGGGAACACUCAAAAUUGGCUAGCUUCCCUUUAGAUAGGGUAUAAGGUUACUUGUCAAUGAGUUCUUGAGAGUUUCUUGGUAUCCAUCUUAAUAUUCACUCUCUCGCUCACCCUAAUGAAGCCUUCUUUUGAGAGUAUUCUCUUGCAUAAUCAGCAUGGAACCACUGUACAUGCAUCAGCGGAUGCCAAGAACCAAGUCUGCGGCGCCCAAGAAGCAAUCAAUUUUUAAUUUCAGUUUAUUGUUGCUUUUGUUGGCUCUCUUUCUCUCUUUCUGUCGUUCGCUCGUUCUUUCUUUAUCUCACGUCAGGUUCUAUUGUUAUUUGUUGUGCCAUGCGUUUCAUUCGACAAAAGUCGUCGUCCGCUUACGUACAUACAUAUAUAUAGAGGUUAUAUAGUGUGUAUGAAUUUGUCGCUUAGGCUUUAAUACUCUUUCCAAAGGUACUAUAAUUGUAGUAGGCCAUAGAUCGGCAUAGAUCUCUGUUCGUCUCGAAUGCAAAUGGAUUCUUCUAAUUUUCCUCCAAUUUAAUUCUAACAUCUAUCUUUCUUGCCUGCACGGGACCGCAGCAUGCGUCAGCGCCCCUCGGUCGGAGCCACCUGAUGUUACAUUUCUUUGACCAUUUCUUUUCUUUAGGGUAUCCAAACCUCGUUGCUUUAGAGUUCAGGCUUUUGCAGCAUUUUUAUGAUAUGAUUUUGAUUGUUGUCGGGGUCGUUUCUUUCGUUAUUGCCUUUAUCGCGGGCCAUUGUGCCUCUGAAUGGAAAUGGGUAUAGGGAUGAAGAGUGGGAUGGGAUGGAAUGGAAGUAGAAUGAAGUGAACGGCUUUUCGGUGUUCUGUUCCAAUUUCUUGACAUACGAUUGGUUCUGCCCAUUGAGGGGGAGACUCUUCGCACAAGUGUGUGUCACCAAACGGUUAUAUUUUUGUAGGCAACCCAACAAAAAUGUUACUUGACAAAUUCUGAGUUUUUAUUGUCAUUGUUUUUGCUUGUUUUUUGCUUUCCGUUUUAUUUGGCGAACAAUCACGACGGACACAUAUCCCAUAUAAAGAAAACGUCGGGGAUGACUAGUCGAUGUGGGUCUCGGCUCGGUGUAUGUUUAGUGACAUCAUAAUUGGAAUUGAGGCGACACAAUGGAUGACCAUUCGAAUCGGGCGACGGCGACGGCCUAUCAGAGAAUUUGAAACGCAAGUUAUUUACACAGCUAGCUCCGGAUAAUCUUAUCGCCAGUGGAAACAGGCCCAUAUACUCAUACUUCUACUUAAAUAUAAGAGGUGUAUUGUAUGGCACUUGCCAUAAUUCGCUAAUCAACGUUGCUCUACCCUCCCUCCAACCACCGUCCUGGGUUCUAAUUGCAUUCCCUGACAUGGAUCCGAUGCACAAAAUACAGCCUUUGCAAGUGUUAA
This is a long non-coding RNA of Drosophila persimilis, 1903 nucleotides long. RefSeq lists it as uncharacterized. NCBI's taxonomy places the organism in Eukaryota, Metazoa, Arthropoda, Insecta, Diptera, Drosophilidae. The transcript has 2 exons. The record is from RefSeq and is a predicted model, not a curated record.